AUCCUGGGGCUGUAGUCGGUCCCAAGGGUUGGGCUGUUCGCCCAUUAAAGCGGUACGCGAGCUGGGUUCAGAACGUCGUGAGACAGUUCGGUCCCUAUCCGUCGCGGGCGUAGGAAAUUUGAGAGGACCUGUCCUUAGUACGAGAGGACCGGGAUGGACAUACCGCUGGUGUACCAGUUGUUCCGCCAGGAGCACCGCUGGGUAGCUAUGUAUGGACGAGAUAAACGCUGAAAGCAUCUAAGUGUGAAACUCGCCUCGAGAUGAGAUUUCCCAUUUCCUUCGGGAAAGUAAGACCCCUCAGAGAUGAUGAGGUAGAUAGGAUGGAAGUGGAAGUGCCGUGAGGCAUGGAGCGGACCAUUACUAAUCGGUCGAGGACUUAACCAAG
This 385-nucleotide ribosomal RNA is filed under the name Limosilactobacillus reuteri. RNAcentral describes it as "bacterial LSU rRNA". It matches the Rfam family "Bacterial large subunit ribosomal RNA", at positions 2544 to 2925 of the family's 2925-position model. Lineage: Bacteria; Bacillati; Bacillota; Bacilli; Lactobacillales; Lactobacillaceae. The record is from RNAcentral.